Molecule: transfer RNA, 84 nt
Filed under: Candidatus Woesearchaeota archaeon
Lineage: Archaea; Nanobdellati; Candidatus Woesearchaeota
Description: tRNA-Ser
Rfam family: tRNA
About the family: Transfer RNA (tRNA) molecules are approximately 80 nucleotides in length. Their secondary structure includes four short double-helical elements and three loops (D, anti-codon, and T loops).
Source: RNAcentral
GCCGCGAUCGCAUAAUCCGGUAUUGCGCCGGUCUUGAAAACCGGUUUCCGCAAGGAUAUCUCGGUUCAAAUCCGAGUCGCGGCG